CCUACGGGGGGCAGCAGUAGGGAAUAUUGCGCAAUGGACGGAAGUCUGACGCAGCGACGCCGCGUGAGCGAUGAAGGUCUUCGGAUCGUAAAGCUCUGUCCUUGGGGAAGAAGGCGAAAGCUUGACGGUACCCAAGAAGAAAGCCCCGGCUAACUACGUGCCAGCAGCCGCGGUAAUACGUAGGGGGCGAGCGUUGUCCGGAAUUACUGGGCGUAAAGGGCGCGUAGGCGGCUUGGUAAGUCAGAUGUGAAAGCCCACGGCUUAACUGUGGAAGUGCAUUUGAAACUGUCAGGCUUGAGUACCAGAGGGGAAAGUGGAAUUCCCGGUGUAGAGGUGAAAUUCGUAGAUAUCGGGAGGAAUACCGGUGGCGAAGGCGACUACCUGGACGAUAACUGACGCUGAGGCACGAAAGCUAGGGGAGCAAACAGGAUUAGAUACCCCUGUAGUCACUC
This 452-nucleotide ribosomal RNA is filed under the name uncultured Bacillota bacterium. RNAcentral describes it as "bacterial SSU rRNA". It matches the Rfam family "Bacterial small subunit ribosomal RNA", at positions 338 to 798 of the family's 1533-position model. Lineage: Bacteria; Bacillati; Bacillota. The record is from RNAcentral.